ACGCGUGGGUAACCUGCCCUGUACACACGGAUAACAUACCGAAAGGUAUGCUAAUACGAGAUAAAGUACUUUUAUCGCAUGGUAGAAGUAUCAAAGCUUUUGCGGUACAGGAUGGACCCGCGUCUGAUUAGCUAGUUGGUAAGGUAACGGCUUACCAAGGCGACGAUCAGUAGCCGACCUGAGAGGGUGAUCGGCCACAUUGGAACUGAGACACGGUCCAAACUCCUACGGGAGGCAGCAGUGGGGAAUAUUGCACAAUGGGCGAAAGCCUGAUGCAGCAACGCCGCGUGAGCGAUGAAGGCCUUCGGGUCGUAAAGCUCUGUCCUCAAGGAAGAUAAUGACGGUACUUGAGGAGGAAGCCCCGGCUAACUACGUGCCAGCAGCCGCGGUAAUACGUAGGGGGCUAGCGUUAUCCGGAAUUACUGGGCGUAAAGGGUGCGUAGGUGGUUUCUUAAGUCAGAGGUGAAAGGCUACGGCUCAACCGUAGUAAGCCUUUGAAACUGGGGAACUUGAGUGCAGGAGAGGAGAGUGGAAUUCCUAGUGUAGCGGUGAAAUGCGUAGAUAUUAGGAGGAACACCAGUUGCGAAGGCGGCUCUCUGGACUGUAACUGACACUGAGGCACGAAAGCGUGGGGAGCAAACAGGAUUAGAUACCCUGGUAGU
This 662-nucleotide ribosomal RNA is filed under the name uncultured bacterium. RNAcentral's name for it is "bacterial SSU rRNA". It matches the Rfam family "Bacterial small subunit ribosomal RNA", at positions 113 to 794 of the family's 1533-position model. The record is from RNAcentral.